GAGGGUAUAGCUCAGUGGUAGAGUGUGUGCUUAGCAUGCAAAAAGUCCUGGGUUCAAUCUCUAGUACCUCUA
RNAcentral lists this transfer RNA (72 nucleotides) under Camelus bactrianus (Bactrian camel). It matches the Rfam family "tRNA". From Rfam's summary of the family: Transfer RNA (tRNA) molecules are approximately 80 nucleotides in length. Their secondary structure includes four short double-helical elements and three loops (D, anti-codon, and T loops). RNAcentral also lists the same sequence under 2 other names. Lineage: Eukaryota; Metazoa; Chordata; Mammalia; Artiodactyla; Camelidae. The record is from Rfam by way of RNAcentral.